UCAGAUGGUCUUUCUGUUGAUGCUGAGGUAUUAUGCUACUGUACUGAAGGUGCCAGACACAAAGAGGGGGCAAAAAGGGGAGUUUAGAGAGAAAACCCCCAACCUAACCUCUAACGAAACGAAACCAUUUGCAACGCGCGGAAGUUUUAGGCUUGGGGUAAAAAUUUCAAAACUUAGAAUCACUGUUUCUAGACGUUUUUUAGCCUCCUGAAUGUAUCCCCAAAAGUUUCAAUAUUUUUCAUGAAAUUUCACGCGUGAAUUUCACUCGAAUAAAUUUCAUGAAAUUUUCCAUCUCUGGCCACCAUGAUUUAGGCCACUUCUAUGCCACUCCAGCUUCUUGGCUUUUGAUAGUGAAAUUCUGGGAGGGGGGUGUCAAGAUGAGGUUAUGUUUGAUUGUUUGGAUCCAGUUCGACACAAUCGAUACCGACUGUGACGUAGCACUAAUAGCGUCUAUGCUCUACCCUAACCGAAAGUAAACAACCGUCAACUUAUUGUUAGCUGACGACACCUCUACUCCAACUCAGCUUAUCUUAUUGCAAUAUAAGUCAAGUAACACAGUUAUGAAACUGGAAAGAGGUAUCAUACUCGACAAACUCAGUCGCACGAUGCAAACUUUUCAAUUUUUGGAAUUGAAGGAACUGAGCAGUGCCCUUUGUCCUGAGCUACUCUCUGUCUCUGACAUAUUGAAUAAACUGAAAAAAGCAAAGCAAAAACUGUCCGCGAAAGCGUUUAGAGAAAUGGCCUUAUUGAAUUUUAUGGAAUUAGCAAAUGAAGAACUUCUACGGCUCAGCCAUUGCUUGCAAUUAUUCGAUAAAGCCUACCAUGGCGGAAAGACAAACUGGGCUUGCAUCGAGCUUCUAGAAAGAAUCAAUAACCGAUUUAAUUCAAGAUCAACUAUUGAUGAAGUAUCUGAAGCAAUUUUGCAAAAUAUUCGUAUCAACAAAGAAAAUGCUUUUGUAGAAGUCAUACAGCACACGAACGGAAUUUUUUACAUUUUGAUUCAGGAGAAGAAAAUAAUCCAAGGAAAGGUGUAUCUCUUAGAAGUCCAGUUUACUGUGCAUGUGACCUGGAUGAGCCAUAUUUAUUUGUGUCGCCCAAAGGGGCUGUACAUAAUCAUAUUUUACUGGCAAGUACCAUAAGACUUCAUCAUCUUUUUAUUUUAUUUUAACUUUCUUGUUCCCCUUGCAGGUAGAAGAAGUAUUGUCAUCAGAGAAAAAAGAAGAAGAAAAAAUUGAACUUCAUCAUUGCUAGGCGUUAUAAGCUGCCUGCAGUAGAAAAAAAAAAAAAAAAACCAUAUUUGAAAAAAUGUGUGUGUCAGUGUAAAAAAUGUAUUUGUUCAACUUAAUUGAAACUUGGCAUGGAGGACCACAUCUAUUGCGCCUGUAUGGACGUCAAUUGAUUCUGGGGUACGCCAAAAUUUGGUGGGGUUACAGGCAAAACUUGAUUUUUUUUUAUCAAUUUCACUUGGAAGGCUCUCUUUGAAGGACUGUGGAUUUUGAAAAAAUGCCUUCAAUUCUUUUAAAGUUAGCAUCUAGCACCACCUGGUUAUUAAUUUAAGUUUCUAAAAGAUCUUCGGACGAAACUCAAAAUUCGAGGGUCCAAGUCAUCUAUUGAGGGCCUCAAGAUCUAGGUGGGUAGUUCGGGACUAAACAUGAAUUUCUAACUAAUGAACUAAAUUCAUGAAGAUCGAAGGUAUAAAAACGGCGCUGCGCGCCGUUUUAUUCGGAGGGCUUCGCCCCCCUGACGCGCGCGCUUUUUAGUUUGAAUGUCCGGCCUCAGUUGUUCUAUCUCUUCAAGCGACCCGCGCGUCCACCGCGGGAAGAGUGUAUUU
This 1831-nucleotide long non-coding RNA is filed under the name Bemisia tabaci. RNAcentral describes it as "lncRNA ENSSWEETPG005867". The record is from RNAcentral. Lineage: Eukaryota; Metazoa; Arthropoda; Insecta; Hemiptera; Aleyrodidae.